Non-coding RNA from Pelobates cultripes (western spadefoot toad), 226 nucleotides. Lineage: Eukaryota; Metazoa; Chordata; Amphibia; Anura; Pelobatidae. The record is from the annotation of a GenBank genome assembly.
CUUUCUUAAUUCUGCAAUCAGGAUCACCAGGAUCUUUGAGAAAGUGCGAGGAGCCGUACUGAGGCCAAAGGGAAGGGCUCGGAACUGGAAGUGCCCUCCUUCAACUGCCAAUCUCAGAUAUCUUUGAUGCAGUUGAGCGAUCGGAACAUGGAAGUAGGCAUCUUUCAGAUCUACAGACAUCAGCCAUUGCCCUGGGAAGACUGCUUUGAUGAUGGACUGAAGCGAC